GUACCCGCACAAGCGGUGGAGCGUGUGGCUUAAUUCGAUGCCGAGCGAAGAACCUUACCAAGAUUUGACAUGGCAAUUAUCCCCUUUGGUAAUUCUUUGGGGUCAUGUUGUCACAGGUCCUGCAUGGCUGUCGUCAGCUCGUGUCGUGAGGUGUACGGUUAAGUCCGGUAACGAGCGCAACCCACAUCCCAUGUUACAAGUGUCUUGGGAGACUGCCUCGGUAAAACGGGGAGGAAGGAGUGGAUGACGUCUGGUCAGCAUUAGCCUUAUGUCUUGGGCUGCACACGCGCUACAAUGGUUAGUACAAUAGGAAGCAAUGCGGUAACGCGGAGCAAAUCCUUAAAACUAGCCUUAGUUCGGAUUGAGGGCUGCAACUCGCCCUCAUGAAGUUGGAAUCGCUAGUAAUCGUGGGUCAGCAUACCACGGUGAAUACGUUCUCGGGUAUU
This 446-nucleotide ribosomal RNA is filed under the name uncultured bacterium. RNAcentral describes it as "bacterial SSU rRNA". It matches the Rfam family "Bacterial small subunit ribosomal RNA", at positions 917 to 1382 of the family's 1533-position model. The record is from RNAcentral.